GGAAAAUGAUUCGGGCUCGGCCCGAUCCUCCCACCCUUUGUGUACCUACCUCUGUUGCUUUGGCGGGCCGCGGUCCUCCGCGGCCGCCCCCCUCCCCGGGGGGGUGGCCAGCGCCCGCCAGAGGACCAUCAAACUCCAGUCAGUAAACGAUGCAGUCUGAAAAACAUUUAAUAAACUAAAACUUUCAACAACGGAUCUCUUGGUUCUGGCAUCGAUGAAGAACGCAGCGAAAUGCGAUAAGUAAUGUGAAUUGCAGAAUUCAGUGAAUCAUCGAAUCUUUGAACGCACAUUGCGCCCUUUGGUAUUCCGAAGGGCAUGCCUGUUCGAGCGUCAUUACAACCCUCAAGCUCUGCUUGGUAUUGGGCACCGUCCUUUGCGGGCGCGCCUCAAAGACCUCGGCGGUGGCGUCUUGCCUCAAGCGUAGUAGAACAUACAUCUCGCUUCGGAGCGCAGGGCGUCGCCCGCCGGACGAACCUUCUGAACUUUUCUCAAGGUUGACCUCGGAUCAGGUAGGGAUACCCGCUGAACUUAAGCAUAUCUAA
RNAcentral lists this ribosomal RNA (542 nucleotides) under Botryosphaeria dothidea. Its description in RNAcentral is "eukaryotic LSU rRNA". The stretch from base 180 to 333 matches the Rfam family "5.8S ribosomal RNA". Lineage: Eukaryota; Fungi; Ascomycota; Dothideomycetes; Botryosphaeriales; Botryosphaeriaceae. The record is from RNAcentral.